This is a long non-coding RNA of Suricata suricatta (meerkat), 1562 nucleotides long. RefSeq lists it as uncharacterized. NCBI's taxonomy places the organism in Eukaryota, Metazoa, Chordata, Mammalia, Carnivora, Herpestidae. The record is from RefSeq and is a predicted model, not a curated record. The transcript is spliced from 4 exons.
CCCCUCCCCCCACUCCUCCUUUUAAAGCAGCCCGAGUUGAGCGAGCGCAGGCCCAGAGUUGGGCCUAGGGGAAAAAAAAAAAAAAAAGACUUUGAAGAACAGUCUGCCUGACGGCUUCGGGAAGGGGACAAAGAGGAUGGGCCUGGGUAGUUAUUUGUAUUAAAGGUGGGAUAUGGCGCUACAUCUCGCUUAACGUUUGGGGGACGUCCGCCGCUUCCACGGGGGCAGAAGAAGAGGUUUUAAUACAAAACUGCAAGGAGGAGGGAAGUGGGACUGGCCGAGCAAGAAGAAUGACGGAAGCACCUGUCACCGUGGUAGGCUGAAUCCGGGAGUGUCAUCGCGAAGUUGAAGGCCAUGAUCUGACAGUCAGAAGUGGUGCCCGAAAAUGCAACUGAGCAUACAGGCACAGAGAGACUAACUACCACAUACAGCCAAGCAGUCCUGGAGUAGAGACAUGAAUCGAGGAAUGGCAGACUCAGGAGGACGGAUGACCCUCACCACAAUGUCACAUUGCCUCAAAGGCCACACAGUCCAUCUUAAAAAUCUUAUUUAAAAGCUAACGGUUUAACUGUUAGAUCAUGUGACAAAAAUCUAGGACACACACUAUACAUUCUUUUGUGGCCUUUUUCCCUAAUUAUAUAAAAAUAAAACAUUUUCAUAUUUUCUCAGAUGAACAUUAUUUCCUGGUUUGUGACUUUAUGAAAGAUAUUAAAACUGAAAACUUUUGAAUUACUUGUCUUUAUUAUUUUUUUCUUCUUGGUUAAUAUUCUAUGUAAUAUGAAGGGCAUCUAAUUCAUUCUAGUUCAUGAUCUGUGGAUGAUAUCCCUAAUCAUUUUAUCUAUUAUUUUAUUUGGUAUCUAUCAUUCAUAUUUACAUGUGUUUUUGGUUUAGUUUCUUGGAGAUUCUAAUUUGUACUACACAUUAAUUUAUCAUCAUUAUCACUCAUUUACUAAUAUACCUACGUAUCUAUAUACAGUCAAAUGAAAAAGAAAACAAAUGAUCAUUAUGUAUUCACAAUUUUUUGUAGGUGUCAAAUUCUUUAACCUAAAUUUACUUUGAGAUCCAGUAAUGAGUACUAGAAUCUUGGCAGAAGGAAUAAUUUGGCCUGCAGUCUUCAUCAGGGAAAGUUUACAACGGGAUGGCAAGGAAACAGCUUUUAAGAUCUAUUAAAAUGGGGAAGAGAUAGCCAUGACUCGCUUGAUCAUCUAUUUUAUAUACAAAAAUCAGGGUUAUGGGACUGUAUUUAUAUAGGUUGCCUGGAGACAAGUCAGCCUGAAUCCAUUUUCGUUAUUUAUAGGAUAAAAUGCUCUGACUCACCCUAUUUUCGUUUGUAUAAAUCUGCUUGUGGCUUCUGCUUUAUCAGAUAAGGUCAUGGAAGAGAAUUGUUUCCCAUUUUUCCUGAACAGAAGUUGACCUUGAAAUGAAAUAGCAUUUAUCCUGUAUUAGUCACCAACAAUCUGCUUCUGCAUUUGGAUUACAUAAAAUUAUUAGGAAGUGAAUGCCUAAUGAUGAAAAUUCUUAGCUACUGUGAGUUGCUUAAUGAAAUUUACUGUUUUCUCUUG